This 460-nucleotide ribosomal RNA is filed under the name uncultured bacterium. RNAcentral describes it as "partial 16S ribosomal RNA". It matches the Rfam family "Bacterial small subunit ribosomal RNA", at positions 338 to 795 of the family's 1533-position model. The record is from RNAcentral.
CCUACGGGUGGCAGCAGUGAGGAAUAUUGGUCAAUGGGCGCGAGCCUGAACCAGCCAAGUAGCGUGAAGGAUGACGGCCCUACGGGUUGUAAACUUCUUUUAUAAGGGAAUAAAGUGCGGCACGUGUGCCUUUUUGUAUGUACUUUAUGAAUAAGGAUCGGCUAACUCCGUGCCAGCAGCCGCGGUAAUCCGGAGGAUCCGAGCGUUAUCCGGAUUUAUUGGGUUGAAAGGGAGCGUAGAGGGGUUGUUAAGUCAGUUGUGAAAGGUUGCGGCUCAACCGUGAAAUUGCAAUUGAUACUGGCAGGCUGGAGUACAGUAGAGGUAGGCGGAAUGCGGGGUGUAGCGGUGAAAUGCUUAGAUAUCACGAAGAACUCCGAUUGCGAAGGCAGCUUACUAAACUGCCACUGACAUUGAUGCUCGAAAGCGUGGGUAUCAAACAGGAUUAGAUACCCCGGUAGUC